UACGUAGGCAGCGAGCGUUGUUCGGAAUUACUGGGCGUAAAGAGUGUGUAGGCGGUGCUCCCAGUCUGUUGUGAAAUCUCCCGGCUUAACUGGGAGGGUGCAGCGGAAACUAGAGUGCUAGAGGGUGGGAGAGGUAAGCGGAAUUCCUGGUGUAGCGGUGAAAUGCGUAAAUAUCAGGAGGAACACCUGUGGUGUAGACAGCUUACUGGACCACUUCUGACGCUGAGACACGAAAGCGUGGGUAGCAAACAGG
RNAcentral lists this ribosomal RNA (253 nucleotides) under uncultured bacterium. RNAcentral describes it as "partial 16S ribosomal RNA". It matches the Rfam family "Bacterial small subunit ribosomal RNA", at positions 524 to 776 of the family's 1533-position model. The record is from RNAcentral.